Molecule: ribosomal RNA, 253 nt
Filed under: uncultured bacterium
Lineage: Bacteria
Description: partial 16S ribosomal RNA
Rfam family: Bacterial small subunit ribosomal RNA
Source: RNAcentral
UACGUAGGCAGCAAGCGUUGUUCGGAGUUACUGGGCGUAAAGGGUGUGUAGGCGGGUCUUUAAGGUUGGUGUGAAAUCUCCCGGCUUAACCGGGAGGGUGCGGUGAAUACUGAGGGACUAGAGUACGGGAGAGGAAAGUGGAAUUCCUGGUGUAGCGGUGAAAUGCGUAGAUAUCAGGAGGAACACCGGUGGUGUAGACGGCUUUCUGGACCGACACUGACGCUGAGACACGAAAGCGUGGGUAGCAAACAGG